CAUAACAUUAUGUUUGCUGACUGGGAACGGUUAUGGACCACAGGUAUGAAAUUUACGGCUUGUAAUGCUUUAAGAGAAAACAUAAUGAAAAUGAUUUACAGGUGGUACUUAACCCCAGUCAAGCUAGCAAAAAUUUAUCACUUGCCUGAUAAUAAAUGUUGGAAAUGUAAAGAAAACGAAGGUACUUUCUUUCACCUUUGGUGGACGUGCCCAAAGAUCAAGGCAUUCUGGGAAAUGAUAUACAAUGAAUUAAAAAAGGUAUUGAAAUAUACUUUCUUAAAGAAACCAGAGGCCUUCCUCUUGGGCAUGGUCGGCCAAUUGGUGCGAAGGGAAGAUAGAACUUUUUUUAUGUAUGUGACAGCAGCAGCAAGAAUACUCAUUGGGAAAUAUUGGAAGACACAAGAAUUGCCUACCCGAGAAGAAUGGCAGAGAAAAGUGAUAGACUAUAUGGAACUGGCUGAGAUGACCGGAAGAAUCCGAGAUCAAGAAGAAGGGUUGAUGGAAGAAGAUUGGAAAAAGUUUAAAACAUAUCUACAGAAUCACUGUAACAUAAAAGAAUGUUAGGAAAGGUUGGAGAAGAAAUAUUAGACCGUAUUGGCAGACAGAGUAUAAUGGAAUUAAGUAAAUAUGAAGUGUAAACUAAAGGAUAGAGGAGAAUUAAAUAUUUUUGAAUGUUAAAAUGUUAAAAUAAGUGAAUGAAAAGAAGGCUAGAAGGAUUUGCUGGAGAUACAAUUUGAAUUAGAAUACAAAGCAGAGAAGUGAGAGGAAGUCACGGAAAUAAGUAAAUGGGAAAACGGUUUGUUUAAUUUGAAUUCUUCUUUUGUUAUUUUUUAUUGUGACUUUUUGUCUUGUGUAUUUUUUUUCUUUUUUUUCUUGUAUGGUGUGUUUCUUUUGUAAGAUGUAUGUGAUUGGUUUUUCUUGCUUUAUUUUUUCUUUUUUUGUAAUCUUAAAAUUUGAAUAAAUAUUCUUAAAAA
Molecule: long non-coding RNA, 974 nt
Filed under: Podarcis lilfordi (Lilford's wall lizard)
Lineage: Eukaryota; Metazoa; Chordata; Lepidosauria; Squamata; Lacertidae
Source: RNAcentral